RNAcentral lists this ribosomal RNA (245 nucleotides) under uncultured bacterium. RNAcentral's name for it is "partial 16S ribosomal RNA". It matches the Rfam family "Bacterial small subunit ribosomal RNA", at positions 15 to 252 of the family's 1533-position model. The record is from RNAcentral.
GAUCCUGGCUCAGGAUGAACGCUAGCUACAGGCUUAACACAUGCAAGUCGAGGGGCAGCAUGAUUGAAGCUUGCUUCAAUCGAUGGCGACCGGCGCACGGGUGAGUAACACGUAUCCAACCUGCCGAUAACUCGGGGAUAGCCUUUCGAAAGAAAGAUUAAUACCCGAUAGCAUAGUUUCCCCGCAUGGGGUUACUAUUAAAGGAUUCCGGUUAUCGAUGGGGAUGCGUUCCAUUAGGGAGUUGG